This is a non-coding RNA of Mycena epipterygia, 105 nucleotides long. Lineage: Eukaryota; Fungi; Basidiomycota; Agaricomycetes; Agaricales; Mycenaceae. The record is from the annotation of a GenBank genome assembly.
GGCCUGAUGGUCUAGUAGUAUGAUUCCUUGUUAGGGUUGAUCGGGUGAUUCUCAUCACGUGAUCUAAUAUCGAGGAGGUCCCGGGUUCAAUUCCCGGUUAGGCCC